Molecule: long non-coding RNA, 1709 nt
Filed under: Sus scrofa (pig)
Lineage: Eukaryota; Metazoa; Chordata; Mammalia; Artiodactyla; Suidae
Description: lncRNA (ENSSSCG00000043136.2)
Source: RNAcentral
GGCAUAUGGAGGGUCCCAGGCUAGGGGUCCAGUUGGAGCUGUAGCCGCUGGCCUACACCAGAGCCACAGCAACUCGGGAUCCCAGCCGCAUCUGCAACCUACACCACAGCUCACGGCCAUGCUGGAUCAUUAACCCACUGAUCAAGGUCGGAGAUCGAACCUGCAACCUCAUGGUUCCUAGUUGGAUUCGUUAACCACUGUGCCACGACGAGAACUCCAUGAUUAAACAAAAAUUUUUUUAAACUCACUUUUUUCAUUCUUCCUUUCCUUUAUGGUUUGUGGGGUUUUUUUUGGCGGGGGGAGAUGUAGGUGCGACAUAUGGAGGUUCCCAGGCUAGGGGUCGAAUUGGAGCUGUAGCUGCCAGCCUACACCACAGCCAUAGCCACAGCCACGCCAGAUCCAAGCCACAUCUGUGACCUACACCACAGCUCACGCUGGCUUGCCUGGGAACCUCUAUAUGUCACAGGUGCAGGCUAAAAAAAAAAGCGGGGGGAACCUCCCCUGUCAUAGUCUACAAAAUGGAUGAAUCUACAAGACAUUAGGCCGAGUGAAAUACGCCGGGCACAAAAGGACAAAUAUGAGAUGACUCCCCUUAAACGAGACGUCCAGAGUGGCCCAGUUCAUAGAGACAGCGUUCCAGGUGGUUGUGGGGCAGGGAGCUAUGUUUGCCAGAAACAGAAGUUCAGUUUGGGAAGAUGGAAAGUUCUGGAGCUGGAGGAGGAUGGUAGGGGCUGUAUAACCAUGUGAAUGUGCUAAAUGCCACUGGACUGUGAGAACUGCAGCCACUCUCCACACGAAAUAUCCCCUGAAGCCUUCCAAGCGGCCUGACCCAACUCCGGCACAGCUUCCUGCAGGUGCCUGGGAAGGCCCCACCCUGCUUCUCUCCCAUCUGGACCAACGCAAGGCCACCAAAAGUCACUCUUUGUGCCAGCCAGCCCCUCGCUGAUAGGCCUCUGGCCUCCCUUUCUUGGGGGUAUUUACUAAAAAUAAAAACUUAAAGAAAAACCGAUAACUUACGACUGUAACGCUUUCCUCUGUCCUUUGGAGACUGCGCGUUCCUGCUACAGUGGAGAAUGAUCUUUCUGGAAGACGUCAGAGACGGUCCUUUUAAGCAUCAUGGUCAAGAAAAGCAGAGCCUCAGCCCCCCAGGCUCUGUGGGAGGGGAGACGGCCGGCUGAGCAAAGCCGGUUCGUGGACGCAGCUGACCCAGCGGUGUUUACACGGACCAGCCCUCUCCAGGUUUUUGUAUCGAUUCACUUCCCCGACUCUGCCUGGGCCCAGCCGCUGCUUCUCCCCGCUCCUGGUCUCCCUUGAAAAUGCCCGCUCAUCUCAGGCUCAGCUGUUUCCCCUCCCGAAGGAGUUACCGAAUAAAUCUGUUUCUACAACUUUAACGCACAGCUAGGUUUAAUCUUUGACCACAGCACCCUUAGAAAUGGAAGGUGAUAAGGUUUAUUCGGCGUGGAUCUUAUCCACAAUGAAAGUAAAAUUAAAUUGAGGCGUUCCCGUUGUGGCUUAGUGGGUUAAGAGCCCAACGUAACGUCCAUGAGGGCAAGGAUUCGAUCCCUGGCCUCGCUCAGUGGGCGAAAAGAUCCGAGGUUGCCCUGAGCUGUGGUGUAGGUCGCAGGUGCUGCUCGGAUCUGGCGUGGAUGUGGCUGUGGCUGUGGCGUAGGUUGGUGGCUGCAGCUCCAAUUCGACCCCUAGUCUGGGAA